AUGUGGUUUAAUUCGAAGCAACGCGAAGAACCUUACCAGGCCUUGACAUCCCGAUGACCGUCCUAGAGAUAGGGCUUCUCUUCGGAGCAUCGGUAACAGGUGGUGCAUGGUUGUCGUCAGCUCGUGUCGUGAGAUGUUGGGUUAAGUCCCGCAACGAGCGCAACCCUUACGGUUAGUUGAUACGCAAGAUCACUCUAGCCGGACUGCCGUUGACAAAACGGAG
This 223-nucleotide ribosomal RNA is filed under the name uncultured bacterium. RNAcentral describes it as "partial 16S ribosomal RNA". It matches the Rfam family "Bacterial small subunit ribosomal RNA", at positions 939 to 1168 of the family's 1533-position model. The record is from RNAcentral.